This is a long non-coding RNA of Gallus gallus (chicken), 2079 nucleotides long. The record is from Ensembl. NCBI's taxonomy places the organism in Eukaryota, Metazoa, Chordata, Aves, Galliformes, Phasianidae.
GAAGGGCCCGGUGCUGUUCACAGCCGUCGGCAGUGCCCCGGGACGUCUCUUGAGAAUAUUUAGGGGAGGAAUACCAGCACUGUACCAGCCUGCAGCAGCUGUACCAUGUUGCUGAAAGACCAGAACACAUAUUCUCCAGGCCUAGAAGCAAGGGAUUAUAGAGGUACUUUCAGAAGGUACCCAUGUGACUGAGAAGUGUAUGCACCAUUUUUAAAAAGCCCCUUGCUGAGAGAUGAUGGGCUGGGUAGGGCCUGCAGAGAAAUCAAAUGGACGUUUUCAAAAACUGUACCCCUUAUUUUAAAAGAAAGGAAAACGUGAGGCAAUCGCAGCUGAUUCAGCAUCCGGCAGUCUCAGCCAAGUCAUAUUUUACCUCUUCCCUUCCCUCCCCGCACAAAACUUCCAGGAAAACCUGCAAAGAAAAGGCAUAUGUGGGUAGGAGGAGACCUGCUUUUAAUUUCUGUACCUCCUAUUCAACACAAUGCCACACAAUGUACAGGAUGCGAAUAUCCCAAGACACCUCAUACAAUACAAGUAACAAAAGCACACACACAUGCACAAGAAAGGGGGAGAAGCAAGCAUGGCAGAGUUACAAAGCAAAGUGCAGGUAAAGCUAUCUCUAAAGUAUCUCUAAUGUAAAGGAGCUCCAUGAAAAAUUCAUCUUUAGAAAAGGGAAAUGGGGGACUGGAGAAAUAUUUCAGUGAACAUGAGAACUAGAUUUCCAUUUCAAAGCAGUAUUUACCUAUUUUUCUCUGCUGUGUUGUAUGUAGUGGCCAGGUCUUCAUUACCAGCAAAGGAGGAGGUCCUAAAGAGGUCUUUGCACUGAGGUGCAACAGAGAUGCUCCUAUGGUUGGUCUACAGAGCAACCUGGUGUCUAUAGAGCACUGAGUCCCAUAGUGGCUGUGAUGAUAGCCUAAAGAAAUGGCUGAGGUUUGAAGUGUAUCACCACAGCUGUAAAGGUUUUCCCCUUCUUUCGGCUGAGGGGAGUGCAGGUAGGGUCUGCUCACUCCCAGGAAAUACCACCUGGCCUGGUUAAAGGAGAUCCUUCUGGAGAUGGGACCACAUCCAUGUCUUGGUGAAGUGCAAAGUGCCUGGAGCAAUGCUCAGCAUUACAGCUCCUGUCAGCACUCAGUGAAUGCAUCAGAGCCUGAUCAAAGAAAUCCAAGGUUCCUCCAAGCCUUUUGCUGAGGCAUGGUUCUGCAUAUCCAUCAGAAUGACCAUGCUGUGGGUGAAGCACUAGCUCAGGCACAAUUCACUCAAAGUUUGUGAGCUUGCAGAGUUUACAAGGAAAACACCAUGUCUGAGCCAGCCACUCUUUAACGUUUGUCUGGAGUUGCUGUGAGAUUUUUACAGCAAGGAUGUAUUGUUUUCAGAUAGGAAUGAAAGCAAAAUACUUCAAACAAUCAAUCAAACAAACAAAUAAACAAAACCAUGGGACAUGAUCUUUACAAUAUAUUUAUUAGAAAGGACAAUUUUUUUAACAUACAAAAAUAGGGCUUCAUAUGUAGAUAGAAAGACUAGAUGACUUUUAGUCACAAGGCCACUGACUGCUGCAUCAAAAUCCAAUGUGAAUAUACAGAGGCAGAGAGGAGAAACUGCAGGAAGCAGAAGAGGGCUAUAGCCAUGAAUCACUUCUCCCUGUGGAAUGGGGUCACUAGAGUAACUUGUUUAACUGAUUACGUAUUUCUUCAGUGUUUGAGAAAAAAAAAUGAAGCUGGUACUUUUUCAUUGUACUUGUGUGUUGAUCGACAGUUGCUAUCAGUGUGGUGUAAUUAGAGUGGGCAAAGAGGAUCAUUUUGUGAAUCUCAGCUGCCUAACUCUAUAUCCAUAUCACAAGCAAUAUCUCAUUCUUCCUUAAUGGAUGUUCAGUUACCGCAUCAAAUAUGUGCUUUGUUUAAUGUUAUUGGAAACGGCAGUAAGAAGAAGAAAGAAAACAGCAAAAAGCAGAGAAAUAUUUGUUAGUAUUGUAUAUUGUGAAGUGUGAUGAUAAAGAAGAUUUUUAUAAUGGCUCUUGGAAGUGUCACUAAUGGAACAAAAUGUCCCCUGCCCACCAGCAGCCACAGAGCUGCAGCUGUGUGCCGC